RNAcentral lists this ribosomal RNA (537 nucleotides) under Cereibacter sphaeroides. Its description in RNAcentral is "bacterial SSU rRNA". It matches the Rfam family "Bacterial small subunit ribosomal RNA", at positions 1 to 539 of the family's 1533-position model. The record is from RNAcentral. Lineage: Bacteria; Pseudomonadati; Pseudomonadota; Alphaproteobacteria; Rhodobacterales; Paracoccaceae.
CAGAUGUGCGAAGGUUCGACGUCAAGGACAGUCCUUCGGGACUUUCAACUUGAGAGUUUGAUCCUGGCUCAGAAUGAACGCUGGCGGCAGGCCUAACACAUGCAAGUCGAGCGAAGUCUUCGGACUUAGCGGCGGACGGGUGAGUAACGCGUGGGAACGUGCCCUUUGCUUCGGAAUAGCCCCGGGAAACUGGGAGUAAUACCGAAUGUGCCCUUUGGGGGAAAGAUUUAUCGGCAAAGGAUCGGCCCGCGUUGGAUUAGGUAGUUGGUGGGGUAAUGGCCUACCAAGCCGACGAUCCAUAGCUGGUUUGAGAGGAUGAUCAGCCACACUGGGACUGAGACACGGCCCAGACUCCUACGGGAGGCAGCAGUGGGGAAUCUUAGACAAUGGGCGCAAGCCUGAUCUAGCCAUGCCGCGUGAUCGAUGAAGGCCUUAGGGUUGUAAAGAUCUUUCAGGUGGGAAGAUAAUGACGGUACCACCAGAAGAAGCCCCGGCUAACUCCGUGCCAGCAGCCGCGGUAAUACGGAGGGGACUAGC